UUAAACACUAUCUCACCCUCUAAUUGUAAAUACCAUAUCCCACAUAUUCCUUGGCUCUACUGAAACCAGCUUUUUCCUUUUGCUGCUCUUACAUAAUGUGAUAACCACAUCCAUCUUGCAUCCUAGUAUAACAUGCCACCCAAGAUUGGUAAAAAUUUACAAUUCAAAUUGUACCAAAUCUCAAUGCUGAGAUGAACCAAAAGAAAUAUUUUGAAAGUUCAUAAAGAUAUAAC
This 233-nucleotide unclassified non-coding RNA is filed under the name Hevea brasiliensis (rubber tree). Lineage: Eukaryota; Viridiplantae; Streptophyta; Magnoliopsida; Malpighiales; Euphorbiaceae. The record is from RNAcentral.